This 1189-nucleotide ribosomal RNA is filed under the name uncultured bacterium. RNAcentral's name for it is "bacterial SSU rRNA". It matches the Rfam family "Bacterial small subunit ribosomal RNA", at positions 202 to 1369 of the family's 1533-position model. The record is from RNAcentral.
GAAAGCGGGGGACCUUCGGGCCUCGUGCUAUCAGAUGAGCCUGCGUUGGAUUAGCUAGUUGGUGGGGUAAUGGCCUACCAAGGCGACGAUCCAUAGCUGGUCUGAGAGGAUGAUCAGCCACACCGGGACUGAGACACGGCCCGGACUCCUACGGGAGGCAGCAGUGGGGAAUAUUGCGCAAUGGGCGAAAGCCUGACGCAGCCAUGCCGCGUGUGUGAAGAAGGCCUUCGGGUUGUAAAGCACUUUCAAUUGGGAGGAAAGGUCAACGAUUAAUACUCGUUGGCUGUGACGUUACCUUUAGAAGAAGCACCGGCUAACUCCGUGCCAGCGGCCGCGGUAAUACGGAGGGUGCAAGCGUUAAUCGGAAUUACUGGGCGUAAAGCGCGCGUAGGCGGCUUGUUAAGUCGGAUGUGAAAGCCCUGGGCUCAACCUGGGAACUGCAUCCGAUACUGGCAAGCUAGAGUGCGAGAGAGGGAGGUGGAAUUCCAUGUGUAGCGGUGAAAUGCGUAGAUAUAUGGAGNGAACANCCAGUGGCGAAGGCGGCCUCCUGGCUCGACACUGACGCUGAGGUGCGAAAGCGUGGGUAGCAAACAGGAUUAAAUACCCUGGUAGUCCACGCCGUAAACGAUGUCUACUAGCUGUUGGGGUACUUGAGACCUUGGUAGCGCAGCUAACGCACUAAGUAGACCGCCUGGGGAGUACGGCCGCANNAGGUUAAAACUCAAAUGAAUUGACGGGGGCCCGCACAAGCGGUGGAGCAUGUGGUUUAAUUCGAUGCAACGCGAAGAACCUUACCAAGCCUUGACAUCCUCGGAACUUUCCAGAAAUGGAUUGGUGCCUUCGGGAGCCGAGAGACAGGUGCUGCAUGGCUGUCGUCAGCUCGUGUCGUGAGAUGUUGGGUUAAGUCCCGUAACGAGCGCAACCCUUGUCCUUAGUUGCCAGCACUUCGGGUGGGAACUCUAAGGAGACUGCCGGUGACAAACCGGAGGAAGGUGGGGACGACGUCAAGUCAUCAUGGCCCUUACGGCUUGGGCUACACACGUGCUACAAUGGCAAGUACAGACGGCUGCGAACCUGCGAAGGGGAGCCAAUCCGACAAAACUUGUCGUAGUCCGGAUCGGAGUCUGCAACUCGACUCCGUGAAGUCGGAAUCGCUAGUAAUCGCGAAUCAGAAUGUCGCGGUGAAUAC